CGAUAUUUCAUGUCAUAAGUAGGAUAUGAAUACUUCAGUUUAAUCACAGAUAUUCCUACCCAAAUGGAGGAUAUAGACAUUUUAAAUUUCCAAACAGGUAUGGCUGUGUUUUCUCCUUGUUAUUGCUUGGCUGUUGCAUUAGUCCUGCUUAGUGAUGGUUUGGGGGCGGUCUGUCUGUGGUAUGUUUCACCUCAGUUUCAUACCCUAGAAUAGUCCAAAGCCCUUUCAGUCACAUAAGUGUGCAUGCACAUGAUCAUUUUUUCAAUUAAUAUUAUCAAGCCCUCUCUGUGUACUAAAUGAAAGGUGAGUGCAGUAAGCAAGAGGUAGUGUAUUCAGUAAAAAGCUUGAGAAGCAGGCGGUUGGUGGAGAUGG
RNAcentral lists this long non-coding RNA (372 nucleotides) under Bos taurus (domestic cattle). Its description in RNAcentral is "long non-coding RNA NONBTAT019164". Lineage: Eukaryota; Metazoa; Chordata; Mammalia; Artiodactyla; Bovidae. The record is from RNAcentral.